This is a long non-coding RNA of Thalassophryne amazonica, 157 nucleotides long. RefSeq lists it as uncharacterized. The transcript has 3 exons. NCBI's taxonomy places the organism in Eukaryota, Metazoa, Chordata, Actinopteri, Batrachoidiformes, Batrachoididae. The record is from RefSeq and is a predicted model, not a curated record.
UUGUCAGGGUGGGAGGCGACACAGGCAUAGGUGAACAAGGUGUAGAGAAUAGGGCUAAGGACACAGCCCUGUGGGGUUCCAAUGUUAGUGGUGAUGCUGGCUGAAGUCCUGUUCCCAAUCCUGACAGACUGAGGCCUGCCGGUUAGAGAGUCCUAGU